CCUACGGGAGGCAGCAGUAGGGAAUAUUGCACAAUGGGCGAAAGCCUGAUGCAGCAACGCCGCGUGUGCGAUGAAGGCCUUCGGGUCGUAAAGCACUUUUCUGAGGGAUGAGCAAGGACAGUACCUCAGGAAUAAGUCUCGGGUAACUACGUGCCAGCAGCCGCGGUAAAACGUAGGAGGCAAGCGUUAUCCGGAUUCACUGGGCGUAAAGCGCGUGCAGGCGGUUCGGUAAGUUGGGCGUGAAAUCUCCUGGCUUAACUAGGAGAGGUCGUUCAAUACUACCGGACUUGAGAGUGAUAGAGGAAGAUGGAAUUCCCGGUGUAGUGGUGAAAUGCGUAGAUAUCGGGAGGAACACCAGUGGCGAAAGCGAUCUUCUGGAUCAUUUCUGACGCUCAGACGCGAAAGCUAAGGUAGUAAACGGGAUUAGAGACCCCGGUAAUCCUAGCCGUAAACGAUGUAAACUUGGCGUCGGUGGCUUAAACUCCAUCGGUGCCGCAGCUAACGCGAUAAGUUUACCGCCUGGGGACUACGAUCGCAAGAUUAAAACUCAAAGGAAUUGACGG
RNAcentral lists this ribosomal RNA (563 nucleotides) under uncultured bacterium. RNAcentral's name for it is "bacterial SSU rRNA". It matches the Rfam family "Bacterial small subunit ribosomal RNA", at positions 338 to 916 of the family's 1533-position model. The record is from RNAcentral.